RNAcentral lists this ribosomal RNA (789 nucleotides) under uncultured archaeon Ar27. RNAcentral describes it as "bacterial SSU rRNA". It matches the Rfam family "Archaeal small subunit ribosomal RNA", at positions 85 to 879 of the family's 1478-position model. The record is from RNAcentral. Lineage: Archaea; Methanobacteriati; Methanobacteriota; Methanomicrobia; Methanomicrobiales; Methanomicrobiaceae.
ACUGCUCAGUAACACGUGGAUAACCUGCCCUAGGGAAGGGGAUAACCCCGGGAAACUGGGGAUAAUACCCUAUAGAUUACAGAUGCUGGAAUGCACUGUAAUCCAAAGUUCCGACGCCCUAGGAUGGAUCUGCGGCCGAUUAGGUAGUUGUUGGGGUAAUGGCCCAACAAGCCAGUAAUCGGUACGGGUUGUGGGAGCAAGAGCCCGGAGUUGGAUUCUGAGACACGAAUCCAGGCCCUACGGGGCGCAGCAGGCGCGAAACCUUUACAAUGCGGGCAACCGUGAUAAGGGAACCUCGAGUGCCUGUAAACGCAGGCUGUUCAGGUGUUUAAAACGCACCUGAAGAAAGGGCCGGGCAAGACCGGUGCCAGCCGCCGCGGUAACACCGGCGGCUCGAGUGGUGGCCACUUUUAUUGGGCUUAAAGCGUUCGUAGCUGGGUUGUUAAGUCUCUUGGGAAAUCUGGCGGCUUAACCGUCAGGCGUCUAAGGGAUACUGGCAAUCUUGGAACCGGGAGAGGUGAGGGGUACUUCGGGGGUAGGAGUGAAAUCCUGUAAUCCUCGAGGGACCACCUGUGGCGAAGGCGCCUCACCAGAACGGCUUCGACAGUGAGGGACGAAAGCUGGGGGAGCAAACCGGAUUAGAUACCCGGGUAGUCCCAGCCGUAAACUAUGCGCGUUAGGUGUAUCGGUGACCACGAGUUACCGAGGUGCCGAAGGGAAACCGUGAAACGUGCCGCCUGGGAAGUACGGUCGCAAGGCUGAAACUUAAAAGAAUUGGCGGGGGAGCAC